CUGCUGCCUUCCGUAGGAGUUUGGACCGUGUCUCAGUUCCAGUGUGGGGGACCUUCCUCUCAGAACCCCUACGCAUCGUCGCCACGGUGGGCCGUUACCCCGCCGUCUAGCUAAUGCGCCGCAUGCCCAUCCUCUUCCGAUGAAUCUUUCCUCGAUCUCGGAUGCCCGAAACCGAUAUACGCGGGAUUAGCCUCCCUUUCGGAAGGUUGUCCCCCUGAAGAGGGCAGGUUGCAUACGUGUUACUCACCCGUGCGCCGGUCGCCGGA
This 266-nucleotide ribosomal RNA is filed under the name uncultured bacterium. RNAcentral's name for it is "partial 16S ribosomal RNA". The record is from RNAcentral.